UACGUAGGGUGCGAGCGUUAAUCGGAAUUACUGGGCGUAAAGCGUGCGCAGGCGGUGAUGUAAGACAGGUGUGAAAUCCCCGGGCUUAACCUGGGAACUGCAUUUGUGACUGCAUCGCUGGAGUGCGGCAGAGGGGGAUGGAAUUCCGCGUGUAGCGGUGAAAUGCGCAGAUAUCGGGAGGAACACCAGAGGCGAAGGCGGCGACCUGGACAGUAACUGACACUCAACUACGAAAGCGUGGGGAGCAAACAGG
Molecule: ribosomal RNA, 253 nt
Filed under: uncultured bacterium
Lineage: Bacteria
Description: partial 16S ribosomal RNA
Rfam family: Bacterial small subunit ribosomal RNA
Source: RNAcentral